This 193-nucleotide ribosomal RNA is filed under the name uncultured bacterium. RNAcentral's name for it is "partial 16S ribosomal RNA". It matches the Rfam family "Bacterial small subunit ribosomal RNA", at positions 338 to 524 of the family's 1533-position model. The record is from RNAcentral.
CCUACGGGAGGCAGCAGUGGGGAAUCUUGCGCAAUGGGCGAAAGCCUGACGCAGCAACGCCGCGUGCGGGAAGAAGGUCUUAGGGUUGUAAACCGCUUUCAGCAGGGACGAAGGCGUCCGGGUUAAUAGCCCGUACGUUGACGGUACCUGCAGAAGAAGGUCCGGCUAGCUACGUGCCAGCAGCCGCGGUAAU